RNAcentral lists this ribosomal RNA (464 nucleotides) under uncultured bacterium. RNAcentral's name for it is "bacterial SSU rRNA". It matches the Rfam family "Bacterial small subunit ribosomal RNA", at positions 189 to 644 of the family's 1533-position model. The record is from RNAcentral.
GGAGGAAGUAGGGGAUCGCAAGACCUUGCGCUUUUGGAGCGGCCGAUGCCUGAUUAGCUUGUUGGUGAGGUAAAAGCUCACCAAGGCUCCGAUCAGUAGCUGGUCUGAGAGGACGACCAGCCACACUGGGACUGAGACACGGCCCAGACUCCUACGGGAGGCAGCAGUGGGGAAUUUUGGACAAUGGGGGCAACCCUGAUCCAGCCAUGCCGCGUGAGUGAAGAAGGCCUUCGGGUUGUAAAGCUCUUUCAGCCGGAACGAAACGGUCACGGUUAAUACCCGUGACUACUGACGGUACCGGAAGAAGAAGCACCGGCUAACUACGUGCCAGCAGCCGCGGUAAUACGUAGGGUGCGAGCGUUAAUCGGAAUUACUGGGCGUAAAGCGUGCGCAGGCGGUUUUGUAAGUCAGAUGUGAAAUCCCCGGGCUUAACCUGGGAACCGCGUUUGAAACUACAAAGCUAG